The sequence is a ribosomal RNA, 417 nucleotides long. It matches the Rfam family "Eukaryotic large subunit ribosomal RNA", at positions 1 to 419 of the family's 3401-position model.
UUGACCUCGGAUCAGGUAGGACUACCCGCUGAACUUAAGCAUAUCAAUAAGCGGAGGAAAAGAAACCAACAGGGAUUGCCCCAGUAACGGCGAGUGAAGCGGCAACAGCUCAGAUUUGGAAUCUGGCCCCCAGGGCCCGAGUUGUAAUCUGGAGAGGAUGCUUCUGGCGCGGCGCCUUCCGAGUUCCCUGGAACGGGACGCCGGAGAGGGUGAGAGCCCCGUACGGUCGGACGCCCAGCCUUUGUGAAGCUCCUUCGACGAGUCGAGUAGUUUGGGAAUCCUGCUCAAAAUGGGAGGUAAAUUUCUUCUAAAGCUAAAUAUUGGCCAGAGACCGAUAGCGCACAAGUAGAGUGAUCGAAAGAUGAAAAGCACUUUGAAAAGAGGGUUAAACAGUACGUGAAAUUGUUGAAAGGGAAG